UGGGAGCAGUUUCCCACCUGGGUUGAUUUGGUGACUUUCCUGGCAGGCUGAAAAAGGUGUGUGUUUGAUAGGGGUUUUGGAGAAGGCUCAGAGUAAGCUUCCCAAAAUGAUGAAUAGAUGGAAUGGAUAUUUGGUUAGCCAACUGCUCAGCCGUUGGUAAAAGCCCUUCUCCUUGAGGGUCUGUCCAGUGCACAUGCAAUGGUUGUGGGAGUUAACAAAUUCACAUGCAAUUACUGUUCAUAUUCCAGUGAGGCUGUGAUAGCAUUUUUCUUAUAUGCAUAUCUGGAUUUCCCUCCCUGAAAUUCUCCCCGUCUCAGGAGAACCUCAGCCAUGGCUGUCCUGACUCUGGAUGACCCGAGGCAGGUGACGAGGAGGCAGAGAAUGGACUUACUCAAAAAGACAAAGGGCACACCAGUCAAGUUAUUCACCAAGAUGGUCCCCCAGGAGUGCUGCAGGAGCGAAAGGGAAUCUCAAACUAUACCAGGGAUAGUGCAGCUUUUCCUCAUAAUCUACAAACAACAACUGAGCAAUUUCUCACUCUUACAUUUUGCUUUAUCUCCCUUGUAUGGGGAGACAUGGUGAAAGUGCAGAGAAAAAUUGAUAGGGUUCUGCAAUGAUUGCCUGAAGCAUUUGCUUUUACCAGUCUAGCUCUACGUAAAGCCUGUGAAAAGCUGUAAAGAGUUUUGCUAUCCUCACAGCAAAGCUUUUUUACUGUAAGAAUGUGUGUUACAAGGCAUUUAUACCUCAGCAGGGAAUUGUACUCUUUGUAGCUUUAUGGGCAUGCAAUGUGCAUGUCUACACCAUACAAAGUGAAAACACUAACCAAACUGUUUUUCCUGUAAUCAUUG
Molecule: long non-coding RNA, 848 nt
Organism: Mauremys reevesii (Reeves's turtle)
Lineage: Eukaryota; Metazoa; Chordata; Testudines; Geoemydidae
Exons: 3
Source: RefSeq, a predicted model, not a curated record